UAGGGAAUCUUCCACAAUGGACGCAAGUCUGAUGGAGCAACGCCGCGUGAGUGAAGAAGGUUUUCGGACCGUAAAGCUCUGUUGUUGGUGAAGAAGGAUAGAGGUAGUAACUGGCCUUUAUUUGACGGUAAUCAACCAGAAAGUCACGGCUAACUACGUGCCAGCAGCCGCGGUAAUACGUAGGUGGCAAGCGUUGUCCGGAUUUAUUGGGCGUAAAGCGAGCGCAGGCGGAAGAAUAAGUCUGAUGUGAAAGCCCUCGGCUUAACCGAGGAAUUGCAUCGGAAACUGUUUUCUUGAGUGCAGAAGAGGAGAGUAGAACUCCAUGUGCAGCGGUGGAAUGCGUAGAUAUAUGGAAGAAUACCAGUGGCGAAGGCGGCUCUCUGGUCUGCAACUGACGCUGAGGCUCGAAAGCAUGGGUAGCGAACAGGAUUAGAUACCCUGGUAGUCCAUGCCGUAAACGAUGAGUGCUAAGUGUUGGGAGGCUUCCGCCUCUCAGUGCUGCAGCUAACGCAUUAAGCACUCCGCCUGGGGGAGUACGACCGCAAGGUUGAAAC
RNAcentral lists this ribosomal RNA (554 nucleotides) under uncultured bacterium. RNAcentral describes it as "partial 16S ribosomal RNA". It matches the Rfam family "Bacterial small subunit ribosomal RNA", at positions 355 to 900 of the family's 1533-position model. The record is from RNAcentral.